This 241-nucleotide ribosomal RNA is filed under the name uncultured Staphylococcus sp. RNAcentral's name for it is "partial 16S ribosomal RNA". It matches the Rfam family "Bacterial small subunit ribosomal RNA", at positions 100 to 334 of the family's 1533-position model. The record is from RNAcentral. Lineage: Bacteria; Bacillati; Bacillota; Bacilli; Caryophanales; Staphylococcaceae.
GGGACGGGUGAGUAACACGUGGAUAACCUACCUAUAAGACUGGGAUAACUUCUGGAAACCGGAGCUAAUACCGGAUAAUAUAUUGAACCGCAUGGUUCAAUAGUGAAAGACGGUUUUGCUGUCACUUAUAGAUGGAUCCGCGCCGCAUUAGCUAGUUGGUAAGGUAACGGCUUACCAAGGCAACGAUGCGUAGCCGACCUGAGAGGGUGAUCGGCCACACUGGAACUGAGACACGGUCCAG